CGCGGGGGCAACCCUGGCGGCGAGCGGCGAACGGGUGAGUAAUACAUCGGAACGUGUCCCGUAGUGGGGGAUAGCCCGGCGAAAGCCGGAUUAAUACCGCAUAUGCUCUACGGAGGAAAGCGGGGGAUUCGCAAGAACCUCGCGCUAUGGGAGCGGCCGAUGUCCGAUUAGCUUGUUGGUGAGGUAAAGGCUCACCAAGGCGACGAUCGGUAGCUGGUCUGAGAGGAUGAUCAGCCACACUGGGACUGAGACACGGCCCAGACUCCUACGGGAGGCAGCAGUGGGGAAUUUUGGACAAUGGGGGAAACCCUGAUCCAGCCAUGCCGCGUGAGUGAAGAAGGCCUUCGGG
RNAcentral lists this ribosomal RNA (349 nucleotides) under uncultured bacterium. Its description in RNAcentral is "bacterial SSU rRNA". It matches the Rfam family "Bacterial small subunit ribosomal RNA", at positions 72 to 422 of the family's 1533-position model. The record is from RNAcentral.